UGUGGCAUCGCGUGCACAGUUAACGUGGUCGGGCUCUUAAAAGGGACAACAUUUCGACCUAUCAGCAUCACACAAAAUUACGAUAUAAAAAGGUUAAACUACAGAGGAGCCAGAGUUAUGGUUUUCACCUGGGUCUGAAUAUUGAGGCCGGGCUGAAGACAUACGAAGAUUCUUUACCAACUUAUACCUCCCAGAAGGUGGUGUGUGUAUAUACACUGCUCAAAAAAAAGGGAACACUUAAACAGCACAAUGUAACUCCCAAGUCAAUCACACUUCUGUGAAAUCAUACUGUUCACUUAGGAAGCAACACUGAUUGAAAAUAAAUUUCACAUGCUGUUGUGCAAAUGAAAUAGACAACAGGUGGAAAUUAUAGACAAUUAGCAAGACACCCCCAAUAAAGGAGUGGUUCUGCAGGUGGUGACCACAGACCACUUCUCAGUUCCUAUGCUUCCUGGCUGAUGUUUUGGUCACUUUUGAAUGCUGGCAGUGCUUUCACUCUAGUGGUAGCAUGAGGCAGAGUCUACAACUCACACAAGUGGCUCAGGUAGUGCAGCUCAUCCAGGACGGCACAUCAAUGUGAGCUGUGGCAAGAAGGUUUGCUGUGUCUGUCAGCGUAGCUACAAGCUAUUUAGUCAUUGUUAGCGGCUUUUACCUUCUGCACAGCCAGCCAGUUUUCUUAACCUGGAUAAUACUCGCCAGUCUAGCUUCCCUGCCCCAUCCACCACUGCCCCCUGGACACUGAUCACUUGGCUACAUAGCUGAUGCAUGCUAGACUGUCCAUUAAUCACGGUACUCCAUUCUGCUUGUUUAUGUUUUAUCUGUCAGCCCCAGCCGCACUCAGGCUGUGUGUGUAGUUAAUCCGACCCUCCCUGCCUAGUCAACGCUAUUUUACCUGCUGUUGUUGUGCUAGCUGAUUAGCUGUUGUCUCACCUACUGUUUUAGCUAGCUCUCCCAAUUCAACACCUGUGAUUGCUGUAUGUCUCUCUCAAAUGUCAAUAUGCCUUGUAUACUGUUGUUCAGGUUAGUUAUCAUUGUUUUAGUUUGCAAUGGCGCCCCUAGUUCCACUCUUCAUACCCCUGAUACCCCCUUUGUCCCACCUCCCACACAUGCGGUGACCUCACCCAUUACAACCAGCAUGUUCAGAGAAACAACCUCUCUCAUCACCCAGUGCCUGGGCUUACCUCCGCUGUACCCGCACCUCACCAUACCCCUGUCUGCGCAUUAUGCCCUGAAUAUAUUCUACCAUGCCCAGAAAUCUGCUCCUUUUAUUAUUUGUCCCCAACGCUCUAGGCGACCAGUUUUGAUAGCCUUUAGUCGCACCCUCAUACUACUCCUCCUCUGUUCCGCGGGUGAUGUGGAGGUAAACCCAGUCCCUGCAUGUCCCCACGCACCCUCAUUCAUUGUUUCAUGCAUGUCAACAUCAGAAGCCUCCUCCCUAAGUUUGUUUUACUCACUGCUUUAGCACACUCUGCUAACCCUGAUGUCCUUGCCGUGUCUGAAUCCUGGCUCAGGAAGGCCACCAAAAAUUCUGAGAUUUCCAUUCCCAACUAUAACAUUUUCCGUCAAGAUAGAACUGCCAAAGGGGGAGGAGUUAGCCUGCAAAGUAAUGUCAUACUUUCCAGGUCCAUACCCAAACAGUUCGAACUACUAACCUUAAAAAUUACUCUCUCCAGAAAUAAGUCUCUCACUGUUGCCGCCUGCUACCGACCCCCCUCAGCUCCAAGCUGUGCCCUGGACACCAUUUGUGAAUUGAUCGCCCCCCAUCUAGCUUCAGAGUUUGUUCUGUUAGGUGACCUAAACUGGGAUAUGCUUAACACCCCGGCAGUCCUACAAUCUAAGCUAGAUGCCCUCAAUCUCACACAAAUCAUCAAGGAACCCACCAGAUACAACCCUAAAUCUGUAAACAAGGGCACCCUCAUAGACAUCAUCCUGACCAACUGGCCCUCCAAAUACACCUCCGCCGUCUUCAACCAGGAUCUCAGCGAUCACUGCCUCAUUGCCUGUAUCCGCUACGGAGCCACAGUCAAACGACCACCCCUCAUCACUGUCAAACGCUCCCUAAAACACUUCUGUGAGCAGGCCUUUCUAAUCGACCUGGCCCGGGUAUCCUGGAAGGACAUUGACCUCAUCCCGUCAGUUGAGGAUGCCUGGUCAUUCUUUAAAAGUAUCUUCCUCACCAUUUUAGAUAUGCAUGCGCAGUUCAAAAAAUGCAGAACUAAGAACAGAUAUAGCCCUUGGUUCACUCCAGACCUGACUGCCCUCAACCAGCACAAAAACAUCCUGUGGCGGACUGCAAUAGCAUAGAAUAGUCCCCGCGGUAUGCAACUGUUCAGGGAAGUCAGGCACCAAUACACGCAGUCAGUCAGGAAAGCUAAGGCCAGCUUCUUCAGUCAGAAAUUUGCAUCCUGUAGCUCCAACUCCAAAAAGUUCUGGGACACAAGUCCAUGGAGAACAAGAGCACCUCCUCCCAGCUGCCCACUGCACUGAGGCUAGGUAACACGGUCACCACCGAUAAAUCCAUGAUUAUCGAAAACUUCAACAAGCAUUUCUCAACGGCUGGCCAUGCCUUCCGCCUGGCUACACCAACCUCGGUCAACAGCUCCGCCCCCCCGGCAGUUACUCGCCCAAGCCUCUCCGGGUUCUCCUUUACCCAAAUCCAGAUAGCAGAUGUUCUGAAAGAGCUGCAAAACCUGGACCCGUACAAAUCAGCUGGGCUUGACAAUCUGGACCCUCUAUUUCUGAAACUAUCCGCCGCCAUUGUCGCAACCCCUAUUACCAGCCUCUUUCAUAUAGUCUAAGAUCCCCAAGGAUUGGAAAGCUGCCGCAGUCAUCCCCCUAUUCAAAGGGGGAGACACCCUGGACCCAAACUGUUACAGACCUAUAUCCAUCCUGCCCUGCCCAUCUAAGGUCUUCGAAAGCCAAUUCAACAAACAGGUCACUGACCAUCUCGAAUCACACCGUACCUUCUCCGCUGUGCAAUCUGGUUUCCGAGCCGGUCACGGGUGCACCUCAGCCACGCUCAAGGUACUAAACGAUAUCAUAACCACCAUCAAUAAGACAGUACUGUGCAGCCGUCUUCAUCGACCUUGCCAAGGCUUUCGACUGUCAAUCACCAUAUUCUUAUCGGCAGACUCAGACUCGGUUUUUCUGAUGACUGCCUUGCCUGGUUCACCAACUACUUUGCAGACCGAGUUCAGUGUGUCAAAUCGGAGGGCAUGCUGUCCAGUCCUCUGGCAGUCUCCAUGGGGGUGCCAUAGGGUUCAAUUCUCGGGCCGACUCUUUUCUCUGUAUAUAUCAAUGAUGUUGCUCUUGCUGCGGGCGAUUCCCUGAUCCACCUCUACGCAGACGACACCAUUCUAUAUACUUCCGGCCCGUCCUUGUACACUGUGCUAUCUAACCUCCAAACGAGCUUCAAUGCCAUACAACACUCCUUCCGUGGCCUCCAACUGCUCUUAAAUGCUAGUAAAACCAAAUGCAUGCUUUAACCGUUCGCUGCCUGCACCCGCACGCCUGACUAGUAUCACCACCCUGGAUGGUUCCGACCUUGAAUAUGUGGACAUCUAUAUGUACCUAGGUGUCUGGCUAGACUGUAAACUCUCCUUCCAGACUCAUAUUAAACAUCUCCAAUCGAAAAUCAAAUCUAGAGUCGGCUUUCUAUUCCGCAACAAAGCCUCCUUCACUCACGCCGCCAAACUUACCCUAGUAAAACUGACUAUCCUACCGAUCCUCGACUUCGGCGACGUCAUCUACAAAAUAGCUUCCAACACUCUACUCAGCAAACUGGAUGCAGUGCCAUCCGCUUUGUCACUAAAGCACCUUAUACCACCCACCACUGCGACCUGUAUGCUCUAGUCGGCUGGCCCUCGCUACAUAUUCGUCGCCAGACCCACUGGUUCCAGGUCAUCUACAAGUCCAUGCUAGGUAAAGCUCCGCCUUAUCUCAUUUCACUGGUCACGAUGGCAACACCCACCUGUAGCACUCGCUCCAGCAGGUGUAUCUCACUGAUCAUCCCUAAAGCCAACACCUAAUUUGGCCGCCUUUCGUUCCAGUUCUCUGCUGCCUGUGACUGGAACGAAUUGCAAAAAUCGCUGAAGUUGGAGACAUCUCCCUCACCACCUUUAAACAUCUACCUGAGCAGCUAACCGAUCGCUGCAGCUGUACAUAGUCUAUCGGUAAAUAGCCCACCCAAUUUUACCUACCUCAUCCCCAUUGUUACGGAUACAGUUCUGUGUGUGUGUGUAUCCUGUGUGUGUGUUUCUUUUCUCUCCUUCUCCCCUCACAGGUGAAAAUCAUCACUCCCCAAUCAGUCAACAAUCAAUCAUCAAUCAGAAGACACACCUCCUCCUAUUUCCUGACCUAUCACAGUUCCUUCCCCAUGGUUUAAAAACCCCAUCAUUUGUUUGUUCUGGAGCCCAGCUCAGCUCACUCUCUCUGUAAAAUGCCAUGUCUGUAGGUCUCUGUGUUUCACUCUCGCUUUGUGUCGUAACCUCUUUUGUUUAAGCACCUCAUAGCACUUUGUCAUCACCUGUGAGUAUUGUUUUUGGUUAUGGUGUUUGUGUUUGAUUGCUGGUGGAAAAGGGGGAAACCAAGACAAGUCGCCCAUGGGCAUACACUACCCGUAGGUGAACUUUGUUAAAUACACUAGUUAGAACUGGGCGGACCACCCACUGUAUUUUUGGUUAGUUAGUUAGCUGUUGUUAAAGUAGGCUAGUCUAGCUUAGGGGUGUUUUUGAAUACUUAUUGUUUCUUUCCUUGGGUCCAGCUCAGCCCCUUUUCCUGCUCCCCCCAUUACCGUGUGUUUAUAAAUAAACCUAGAGUUUGACGGUA
Oncorhynchus masou masou (cherry salmon) is the source of this 4827-nucleotide long non-coding RNA. RefSeq lists it as uncharacterized. The transcript is spliced from 2 exons. Lineage: Eukaryota; Metazoa; Chordata; Actinopteri; Salmoniformes; Salmonidae. The record is from RefSeq and is a predicted model, not a curated record.